Molecule: ribosomal RNA, 1101 nt
Filed under: Enterococcus sp. 309B4_12EGalle
Lineage: Bacteria; Bacillati; Bacillota; Bacilli; Lactobacillales; Enterococcaceae
Description: bacterial SSU rRNA
Rfam family: Bacterial small subunit ribosomal RNA
Source: RNAcentral
UGCAAGUCGAACGCUUCUUUUUCCACCGGAGCUUGCUCCACCGGAAAAAGAGGAGUGGCGAACGGGUGAGUAACACGUGGGUAACCUGCCCAUCAGAAGGGGAUAACACUUGGAAACAGGUGCUAAUACCGUAUAACAAUCGAAACCGCAUGGUUUUGAUUUGAAAGGCGCUUUCGGGUGUCGCUGAUGGAUGGACCCGCGGUGCAUUAGCUAGUUGGUGAGGUAACGGCUCACCAAGGCGACGAUGCAUAGCCGACCUGAGAGGGUGAUCGGCCACAUUGGGACUGAGACACGGCCCAAACUCCUACGGGAGGCAGCAGUAGGGAAUCUUCGGCAAUGGACGAAAGUCUGACCGAGCAACGCCGCGUGAGUGAAGAAGGUUUUCGGAUCGUAAAACUCUGUUGUUAGAGAAGAACAAGGAUGAGAGUAACUGUUCAUCCCUUGACGGUAUCUAACCAGAAAGCCACGGCUAACUACGUGCCAGCAGCCGCGGUAAUACGUAGGUGGCAAGCGUUGUCCGGAUUUAUUGGGCGUAAAGCGAGCGCAGGCGGUUUCUUAAGUCUGAUGUGAAAGCCCCCGGCUCAACCGGGGAGGGUCAUUGGAAACUGGGAGACUUGAGUGCAGAAGAGGAGAGUGGAAUUCCAUGUGUAGCGGUGAAAUGCGUAGAUAUAUGGAGGAACACCAGUGGCGAAGGCGGCUCUCUGGUCUGUAACUGACGCUGAGGCUCGAAAGCGUGGGGAGCAAACAGGAUUAGAUACCCUGGUAGUCCACGCCGUAAACGAUGAGUGCUAAGUGUUGGAGGGUUUCCGCCCUUCAGUGCUGCAGCUAACGCAUUAAGCACUCCGCCUGGGGAGUACGACCGCAAGGUUGAAACUCAAAGGAAUUGACGGGGGCCCGCACAAGCGGUGGAGCAUGUGGUUUAAUUCGAAGCAACGCGAAGAACCUUACCAGGUCUUGACAUCCUUUGACCACUCUAGAGAUAGAGCUUCCCCUUCGGGGGCAAAGUGACAGGUGGUGCAUGGUUGUCGUCAGCUCGUGUCGUGAGAUGUUGGGUUAAGUCCCGCAACGAGCGCAACCCUUAUUGUUAGUUGCCAUCAUUUA